UUGUCUACGCAAUUUACGUAAGCCAAUGAGCAGAGAGGAAUUAUCGUGUGGAGGACUAAUGAAUUAAUUGGUUUCAGCAGUCAAAUAAACAAGUACGUCGUCUACUCAGGCGUGUUUGAGGUGUUUGUUUCAAACUUUUCAUAGACGAGAGUAAAAACAAACAAGCUUUUGGUUUAACUUCCAGCGGAAAUGGAGCUCCACGUACUGAAGGAGGCAGCACUGUUGUCAUGGAUCAACAGUGUGAAUCCUCAGGAGCCAAUAACUAGACUUCUUCAAAUGAUGGACGGUCACCGACUCCUAAAGUUUGCAUAUAAAGUGCAAAGAAAAGGGUUCUGUGAAGAUGUAUUGCUGCAAUCAAGUCCUAAUGUGAUGGAAAUGACCUUCUCGCUGCUACACGAUGACUUUAACUUCAUCCCGAGUCAAGCAUCUCUUGUGUUACAGAAAAUCAGUAAGGGAAUCGAGCUGGAGAUUCAGCUUGCAAAGGUGGUGAUUGUGCUGUGUUAUUGUGGUUUUAAAAGGCACAACCUGCCACCCUUGGACACAAAGACAGAGGUGAUGAUCGCAUCCAUGUUUCAGUUUGUAGAAGAUGAUGCUGAUGGUCUGUCUUUAAACAAAGGCUUAGAUCAGUUCCUCACUAAAGGCUCCGUCAUGACCUUCUCCACCUCUGGCAGUGAGAGCAGUUCUCCUCUGACCACCAUUUAUAAGGAGUCUCCCAUCUUCAGCCGCUUCCAAAACCCUCCCAGAGUUCAGUUUCAGGAGGUUUUCUCUGUGGCCUGCAGCUCCGGCAGUUCUCCAGUGCACAAUGUAAUGAAUACACCACAUUUCCGGCUCAAGAGGCUUCGGGAAAAACUGAUUCGUGAAGAAGACCUGAGAGAUGAGCUGGAGAAUGAACUGGCCAAUCAGAUCAGCAUCAUCUCUGAGAAAGAGGGUCUGAUCUCCCAGUUACAGCACCGGGUGGAACGGAUGCUGCGGGAACAAGGAGAGCUGGAGAAAGACCAUAAAGCUGCAGUGCUGGAGCUCCAGGAGAAGAAUAAAAGUCUUCUCCACAGAGUUCAUGAGGUUUUAAAGCAGUGCCAAGAUUUAAAAACAGACAACUCUCAAAAAGAGAAAAAAAUUGAUGAGCUGACAGAAGAGAACGGGACUCUCAGUGCUCAGGGUUUGAACAAAAUCGAGAAUCUCCAAACUCAAAUUCAAGAUCUGCUUGAGCAAAUUUCAGUAAAAGAUGAAGAUCUCCGAAAUCUGAGGAACAUACAUGAGUCUGUAGACAACGAGCUGAAGCUUGUGAAGCAGCAAAACGCUGAAAUAAAUGCAAUGAUCAAAUCUGAUCGUAAAGAGCAUGAGGAAACUGUUGAGAAACUCCAGCAGGAGCUUCGUUGUGCUGCUUCUGCUGCUUCAGAAAAACAAGAGCAAAUGCUGGUUUUAUCAGCAGAGGUAACAUAUCUGAAAGAGCAGAUCUGCAGAUAUAGUGAAAAUGAAGCACAAGAUUCAUCUGUACUGAAUGAGAAACUGACUUCUCUUCAGAACCAGUUGACUCAAAUGAAGCAAUCUGAGCUUCAGCAAAAACUCAGCCAUCAAGAAACCCUAAGAGAAAAAUCUGAAGAGUUCGAGAAGACCGUGCGGAAACUGCAGUCUGAAAUCUCCGCUCUUUAUUCUGAGAAGGAGACUCAAAUAAGUGCUCUUAAAGCGGAGAUGGAGGAUCGGCAGAGGUCUAGAGCUCAACUGGAGCUGAAGCUGAAAAAGCAAAACUCCUCGAUUCUUGAUCUGAAAACCAUCGGCAGACAAUUCCAGCAGCAGAACAAGGAGCUCAUGGAGAAGCUGGAGAAAACCUUCCAGCAGCUGCAGCAUUACAACGCUAAAAUCCAGGAGGCAAGGGAGACCAACAAAUCUCUGGAGAGAUCCCUGCAGGCCAAACAGAGAGAAAUCAAUGUUCUGAAGAUGGAGAGAGAGCAGGCUGAGGCCAAAAUGCGCUUUGCUGAGAUGUGCCUAAAGGAACAGAGAAACAUGACUGAUGACACUAAAGAUAUGAGACUUGGAGAAAGCCUAAGAGUCCCUGAGAAACAACAGGACACCAUCACUGACUGCUUAGAGUUUAAUCUGGACGGUUCAUUUAAUGUUAAUACAAAGGAAACACACAGUAUUGGAGCAGAGAGUGAGUCAGAGGAUACUGCAGACGACUGGAUACGCAUAGCUGAACUACAGGCCCGAAACAAAGCCUGUCUGCCUCACAUGAAGAGCAGCUAUCCUCUGGAGUCUGGGCCCAAUGUGGGUGUGCCGGCAUUGACGUUAACAGAUGAGGACCUGCGGAUGGGGGACCCAAAAGAGACCAUUCGCCGUGUAGCUUUACACAUGAUAAAACCACAGGACACACACACAUCACACACACGCAAGCGCAGAGGAGCUCCGCUGGAGAACCUGAACACAUCUGAGCCCAAGCAAAGUCGGCAGUCUGUGAUGUUCACGAUUUCUAAUACUCCAAAGAAGAGCUUGAGCAGAGGCCGUAAGGAUGCCUGUAAAUCCUCCUCCUUGUGCAGUCGUGCUCUUCGUCCUGCAGCCACCGCUGCUAACAGCAGAUCUCCUCAGAUCUCCAACAAUGGCAGAAAGGUAGAAAAAGCAUGAUGUUGUUUGACCUGAAAGCUCCAUCUGACCAAACCCUUUCCAUCUGCUAAACCCUUUCCAUCUGCUAAACCCUUAACAGAGCGAGAGGAAAACUUAGUGCAGAUCGCCCCCUAUUGGUAGUUGAUUGGGUUUUCUUAAAUCUGUGAUAUUCGUUUCAUGAAUAAGAAUUAUAGCAUUUGUUAGAUGCUUAUUAUACAUUCAAUGAAGGUCAUAAUGUGUGUGAUAUAGAUUAGGUCUUAAUAUGGGCAACGCUAAUUAUAAACAAACCAGGACUAAAUCUACCAUAUUCAUUUUUGACUUGAAACCAAACUACCGGUGUAAACACACCCUUAGACAUGGUGAUUUAAGCACAGUAUUUAAGUCUAGAUUGAAUGGCUAUUUUUGUGUGUUUAGGGAGCACAGUCAUCUUUCCUGAUCAUUUUACUGUAUGUAUCUGGGUUUUAUUUGUGUCGAUUGAUGUUGGUUUAUUUUUUUAAAAGAUUUCUUCUUUUGCUAUUAUUUGUAAUAAAAAUAAAAGAUUUUUGUAUGUUUUAAAAUGGGAACGCUGU
Molecule: long non-coding RNA, 3164 nt
Filed under: Danio rerio (zebrafish)
Lineage: Eukaryota; Metazoa; Chordata; Actinopteri; Cypriniformes; Danionidae
Description: lncRNA (ENSDARG00000117638.1)
Source: RNAcentral